RNA transcript from Harpegnathos saltator (Jerdon's jumping ant), 1411 nucleotides. RefSeq lists it as uncharacterized. The record is from RefSeq and is a predicted model, not a curated record. The transcript has 8 exons. NCBI's taxonomy places the organism in Eukaryota, Metazoa, Arthropoda, Insecta, Hymenoptera, Formicidae.
CUGACAUGUUCAGGAAGUAUAAUUCAUACUUUUAAAUUGACGUAAUAUCUUGGACGUGUUCAUCUCAACUAUACCAAUAUGACGCUUGUAUAACACGUAUCGUUCAAUAAUCCGUUGCAGGAAAGAUCACAACAAAAAUGGAGCGAGAUCGGUUUGACUUGUGACAAAUUUCAAUGAAACUCGCAGCAAGAUGUUUGCGCAGAGAAAAAUCGAUCCAGAGCUAGAGAAGCUCAGGAAUGAAGUGGACGGACCGCCAAACUUGGAUACCGUCACUUUGAAUAUCCAGAGAAAAUCGUCGCGUAUUCAUGCCGCGUUUUUAUUCGAGCAUAUUGGCAAGCCUAUGCUGCAAAAACUUUGUUUGCUACUGAGUUCUACGGCAACAGGCAAGAUUUAUAACGGAUGGCAAGAGUUUGCAGCACACAUGGGUUUAACAAUGGAGCAAAUACGUUGUAUAGACUACGACUUCAAAGGACUUCAGGAUCCAACGUAUUAUGUGCUUUUGACCUUUGUGCAGUCCUCAGAUUCAACAAUGGAUAAAAUUCUGAGUGCUUUACAAAAGAUAGAGCGGUUCGAUGUCAUAUGUGAGAUUAAGGAUUACGUACAUAAUUUAGUCAGUGCUGUGUCACAAGACGCCAUCGAUGAAUUGGAAAUAAUCCAUCCAGCACACAUACCAAGAGCACCAUUAGUACUGAGUCCAAUAUUAACAAAACAAGGCAGGGCUGGAGUUGCAAAAAGUGAAUCAAAAAACACACCACAGGAUAAUCAACAGAAGCAUACCAAACAAAGGUACAGCUGUAUAGUUAUGCUGACUUUCGCAAGAGACGGUUUAGCAAUUGCUGAAUGUAUCGCGAAGAUAUUCCGAUCCAAGCAGCCGCCGAUCGGCGUGCUUAUAUUGCAAGAACAAGAGAAAGGCGUUUAUAGUCGUGCUGAAGAGUUUAUAGAUGAUUGCUUUAGACAGGUCGAUUAUAUUAUACCAAUACUAACCAAAGGAUACAUUGAGACAGUAAAUAAUAUCAUGAAAGCAGGCGAAAAGAUACACACCAAUUUAGACAUGAAGUACUUAAAGUACAUAUAUUCUUUGUUGAGGUACGAGUACAUGACAAACGAGUGCUGCAACAAUCGCGUAAGAUGCAUCGUGCCUGAUAAGGAUGUUUAUACUGUCGUUCGAGCGAAUCUACAUCCCACGCUACAAGCAUGGUUUCGCGAGAGUGAUAUCGACGAUUUCGUGAACAAUAUUCUUUUGCAUAAAUUUUGACAUGAAACUCGAAGAUGCUUGGAAUGGUUUCGAUUAGACUAACAGAAUAAUCUCAACUCAUAUGACCAUUAUCAUUUAAUUUCUACUACAAUAAUUCAGCAAAUAUAUAAUCUCAAUCCGAGAAAUAAUAAAGUUACUUACUUUUCUCUGAAGUAA